Molecule: long non-coding RNA, 849 nt
Organism: Corticium candelabrum
Lineage: Eukaryota; Metazoa; Porifera; Homoscleromorpha; Homosclerophorida; Plakinidae
Exons: 3
Source: RefSeq, a predicted model, not a curated record
CAUUGUGCAUUGUGUUUCUGUGUUCCAUACCUGAUCAGAAAUGUUCCUUGUUGUUGUUAAACAGAAAGUCAAAAAAAGAAAACUGGUAAAACGUGAUUAUGAUAUUAGAUCGUCUGCAAAACGGAAAAGAGAACAGCGACAGUUGGAAGCACGAGUUGAAGAAUGGACGAUAGCGGCAGUCUACUUGAAAGAAAGGCGGUGACGUGUUGUCUCUGUCAUAUUUAUCUUUGUGCUUCCGUCUUCGGUCUUUAGAUGCUAGGAGAUAAAGCGGGUACUUGCUUUCGAUCAACGUAUGUUGCAGCGCAUCGCAGUCGACUAGAGGAGAUAUAUGUAUGGAUUCAGGUAGGCUCUCUAGUGCGCAGUAUCAGACAAUGAAGCUGCGUUGCCAGGACAGUGUGAAGAUCACGAAACUUGCUGACAAGGCGAAAAUUUCUUUUGCCUUGGAGACGAUCACAUCCAUCUGAGGCUCAUGUCUUGUUUCUGCAAUUUAUUGAUGUACUGCUGCAGAUGGCAGUUGCUGAUUGAGCUGACUCGUGUGCCUUCUAAUCUUCCUAGGGGAGUCGAUUUCAUACAACUUUUAGCUCAUCUGGGGGAUGUGGGCAAAACAAAGUCACAUACCAAAGCACAUCUACUAUUAAUUGGAGCACUUUCUUUACUUGACUGUGGCUGGAUCAGGUGUGGAAUUUUUAAACUCAUGAUAUCUAGCUUGGAUUGAUGAACAGAACAGGGAUUAGGCGGUGUUUAUCUUUUACUCACAUAGUGUAUCUAUACUAUAUGUGCGUUUACUUGUUCUGUAUAUUAGUUAUGUACCAAGUAGCUGAAAACCGACUUGGUGGUUAGUGGACUAUA